UUUAUCGGAGAGUUUGAUCCUGGCUCAGGACGAACGCUGGCGGCGUGCCUAAUACAUGCAAGUCGAGCGGACAGAUGGGAGCUUGCUCCCUGAUGUUAGCGGCGGACGGGUGAGUAACACGUGGGUAACCUGCCUGUAAGACUGGGAUAACUCCGGGAAACCGGGGCUAAUACCGGAUGGUUGUUUGAACCGCAUGGUUCAAACAUAAAAGGUGGCUUCGGCUACCACUURCAGAUGGACCCGCGGCGCAUUAGCUAGUUGGUGAGGUAAYGGCUCACCAAGGCRACGAUGCGUAGCCGACCUGAGAGGGUGAUCGGCCACACUGGGACUGAGACACGGCCCAGACUCCUACGGGAGGCAGCAGUAGGGAAUCUUCCGCAAUGGACGAAAGUCUGACGGAGCAACGCCGCGUGAGUGAUGAAGGUUUUCGGAUCGUAAAGCUCUGUUGUUAGGGAAGAACAAGURCCGUUCGAAUAGGGCGGUACCUUGACGGUACCUAACCAGAAAGCCACGGCUAACUACGUGCCAGCAGCCGCGGUAAUACGUAGGUGGCAAGCGUUGUCC
This 564-nucleotide ribosomal RNA is filed under the name Bacillus subtilis. RNAcentral's name for it is "bacterial SSU rRNA". It matches the Rfam family "Bacterial small subunit ribosomal RNA", at positions 1 to 546 of the family's 1533-position model. Lineage: Bacteria; Bacillati; Bacillota; Bacilli; Caryophanales; Bacillaceae. The record is from RNAcentral.